RNAcentral lists this transfer RNA (82 nucleotides) under Verrucomicrobiia bacterium. RNAcentral's name for it is "tRNA-Leu". It matches the Rfam family "tRNA". Rfam says of the family: Transfer RNA (tRNA) molecules are approximately 80 nucleotides in length. Their secondary structure includes four short double-helical elements and three loops (D, anti-codon, and T loops). The record is from RNAcentral. Lineage: Bacteria; Pseudomonadati; Verrucomicrobiota; Verrucomicrobiia.
GCUCGGGUGGCGGAACUGGUAGACGCGCAAGACUAAGGAUCUUGUGGGGCAACCUGUGGGGGUUCGAGUCCCCCCUCGAGCA